AUUGAACGCUGGCGGCAGGCCUAACACAUGCAAGUCGAGCGAGCGGCGGACGGGUGCGUAAUGUAUGGGGACUGCCCGCUAGAGGGGGAUGACUACUGGAAACGGUGGCUAAUAACGCAUAAUAUCGGCUCACCCAUAUGGGAUUAGCUAGUAGGUGGGGUAAAGGCUCAGCUAGGCGACGAGUUCUAGCUGGUCGGAGAGGAUGAGCAGCCACACUGUGACUGAGACAGGUCCCAGACGCCUACGGAGGCAGCAGUGGGGAAUAUUGCACAAUGGGCGCAAGCCUGAUGCAGCCAUGCGGCGUGUAGGAAGAAGGCCUUAGGGUUGUAAAGUACUUUCAGCGGGGAGGCGUUACCCGCAGAAGAAGCACCGGCGAACUCCGUGCCAGCAGCCGCGGUAAUUC
RNAcentral lists this ribosomal RNA (403 nucleotides) under uncultured bacterium. RNAcentral's name for it is "partial 16S ribosomal RNA". It matches the Rfam family "Bacterial small subunit ribosomal RNA", at positions 29 to 526 of the family's 1533-position model. The record is from RNAcentral.